Molecule: microRNA precursor, 113 nt
Organism: Medicago truncatula (barrel medic)
Lineage: Eukaryota; Viridiplantae; Streptophyta; Magnoliopsida; Fabales; Fabaceae
Rfam family: MIR2593 microRNA precursor family
Source: Rfam
AUAUAAGCAAAAUUGAUUUUUUAGGUUCAUUCAUUUAACGAUGUAUGUGGUUCAUAAUAUAAACCACAUACAUCGUUAAAUGAAUGAACUUAAAAAGUCAAUUUUGCUUAUAU